UGGAGUUUACACCAAAGGUGAUAGCGUUAGCAGUCAGCAUAGGAGAUGUCUAGGGAGAGGUAAAAACAGAAGAGCACAGCUCUGAAACCAAAGCCUGGGGUAACCUCUCCAGGAAGAGGAGGAGUUUGAAAAGGAGACUGAGACAAAGGGUAGGAGAAAAUCAGGGUAGAAGCUGGAGUUACAAAAGCUCAGGCUUACUAGUAUCAAAAGUAAUGACGACAUCUUAAUCAAUGGGCAUAACAACUACGAACUCCUUGGUUUGUUUAUUCACUGCUGAAUCCUGAGGGUAAGUUUGAUAGAAUGAGGGAGCAGAAUCUAGAUGGCAGAAGGUUGGGAGAGAAUAGGUAGUGGUCAAUGAAAUGCAACAUAAACCAUUCCCUCUGAGUGCUUGUCAGUGUAACAUGGGCAUGAAAUUGGACUGAAUCCAGAGGGGAAGCAGGGUCAAGGGUUGUUUUCCAUUUUGUUUAUUGACUUUUCUUUUUCUCUUUCUCCAACCACAGUGAGAAUUAAUGAUUAUAAACUUGGAGAGAAAAAUGAGAUUCUGAAGUUUGGGAUGGAGGGAAAUGGUAGAAAAGAAUCAGAGAGAGAGAGCCUGGGAAGAUGACAGUUUUUUGAAGGCCGAAGUGUCAUCUCUUCUGAAAGAAAAGAUAGGAAUGAAUGAAGGUAAAGACAGAUAUUUUAAUGUAAAUAGAAGGUGAAAUGAAGGAAUAUAAAAGUGAUGGCUCAAUAUUUUCGAGAAGGUUUUAAGUAAUAGUGCGAAUAAAGGAGAGAGGUGGGUUAGUCUUGAUAUAAACAGCCACUGUAGGGUGAGAGGAAUCAAAAAGAGUGACAACAAAAAAACCCCAGAAGUGUGGAGAAAGGCAAUUCAACAGUUCCAGAAACUCUGAUGAAAAUGUACCAUGUUAAGACAUUGCGCUAGGCACAGGAUCAGAGAAGAUACAAUCCCUUUCGUCAUGGAAAUCACACUUAGUAGGAGAGCAGCUACAAGGGACAGAACCAGUUGACAGUAGAUAAAAGUGAAACAUUAGCAUAGUCACAGGAUGAUUUUCAACAAUGUUUGCCAGACUUAGAACAGGAGGAGAGGAUGUUGAGUUGAGGGCUGUGAAGAUUCAAGUCAGCUCCUGACCUUAUGUCAGUAUUAACAAGGGCAGCCUUGAUCUUGGUGAACAUGAUGAGCAGUCCAAGAAAGGAGUACAAAGAAUAAGGGCCAGCAUUGGUCCUGUGUGGAGGGAGUGAAAAUGGGGUCAGGUGAAGAGGUAUCACUUCCAACAGGACCAUCAAGUUAGACAUCUUUUAAGGGAUAAGAGGCCCAGAGGUUAAGCCCUGAUAGCGGGUCACUGAGACACUGUGGAGGGAAAUGGAUAAGCCAGGAGUGUUUUGAAGGUGUAAUAAGGGCUGCACAUGUCAUAAUGGGAUCUAAACAAAUAGGAGGUAUACAAGGCUCGUGGGAAGUUGGCUCCCCAGAAAUCUGAGAGAAACUAAGACAUGUAAAGUCCUGCUCACCUAUGAAAGUUUCUAAAUACAGGAGCUCUGAUUCUAAAGUCAUCUCCAUUUAUAUUGGUUUACCUUUUUAAGACACUUUGUUGUUUCAGAGCUACCUUGCCAUGAAGAUUCAUUACCUUUUCUCUGCUCUUUUCUUCCUUGGCCUGCUGUCUACCUCAGUUUUUCUUCUUCAGUAAUUUCUUCUUUCAGUUUAGAAUAUCCUCAAGCAGGAUGAGCCUGGAGAAAAACUGUGAAAUUAUUGGCAUUCACCUUUAAAACCAUAAAAUGAUAAGGGCCUGAUAGAUAACAAUCAAAAGAAAGGAAUGGUGGACUGGGCACAGUGGCUCAUGCCUGUAAUUGCAACACUUUGGGAGGCCAAGGUGGGUGGAUCAUGAGGAACUGAAGGUGCUUAUGAAGUCAUUAGUAUCAUGGACUGUAAAAAUCAAACAUUGUGUAAUUCUCAGAAUACAACUAGACACUGCUCUCAUGGGAAGGAGAUUGAACUAUGUGUCUUGCGUCUUGGAAAAAUUGCAAAGCGACUGACUAACCAUGAAGAAAUAGCAAAUUAGGAAGACAGGAUGAUCAAUUUCCUUGUCUUAUUAAAAAAUAAAGUCUGCUUUCUUUUCUCUCUCCUUUUAUUCUCUAGUGACACAUUUAUUUAUUGACAGUUUGGACAAAAGUUUAUCAAGGAACUUUUCACGCUUAGGAUGAAUUACAACAAGAACCAACAUUUUCUUAGUUCCAGCAGAUGAGAGAAUACAUGCUUGAGAAACCAGAAUAGCUGUCCUGUUUGGAUCAUAGGGGAAAAUUUUGGGAAGUGUGAAGUAGGGGAGGGAAGAAUCUGGGGUGACAAUUAUAGUGUGACAUACACUGACAAGGGCAGAUGUGAAAAGAGAUUAUCAGGUUUUACUGUCUAUUACAAAUGGAGUUUUCCCUCAGUGUUUUGCAGGAGAUUUUGGUAAAGACUUAAUUAGCUUUAAAAUUUUUAUUUUUCAUUAAAAUAUUUGAUUGUAACAUUUUAGCACUUGCAUUACUAAAGUGAAUACUUCGUCCAGCUUUACAAGCCAAAUACACUCCACCCAGACCAGACCGGAAAAGGUAGGAAAGUGAUUCUUGAAGCCUGGGACUCCUUUCCAUUGUUCCUGGCUUCUAUGAUGCCUAUGAUACCUGCAGCCCAGUACCUUUCCUCCACAGUUCCCUGAUUCCACUAUGCUAGCUUCCCUCUGAAACCACUGUGUUAAAUUUUUAGGAAAAUAUGGGAUGAUGGAACAAUUCUAAUUUUGGUAGAAAAGACCGCCUACCCAUGCAGUAGUAUCUGUAUUAUUUUUUCUUUCUUUCUUUUUUUUUUUUUUUUGAGAUGGAGUUUCACUCUUGUCGCCCAUCUUGGCCACACCAUCUUGGGUCUCACCAUCUUGGCCAGGCUGGUCUGGAACUCCUGGCCUCAGGUGAUU
Chlorocebus sabaeus (green monkey) is the source of this 2933-nucleotide long non-coding RNA. RefSeq lists it as uncharacterized. NCBI's taxonomy places the organism in Eukaryota, Metazoa, Chordata, Mammalia, Primates, Cercopithecidae. The record is from RefSeq and is a predicted model, not a curated record.